Molecule: ribosomal RNA, 299 nt
Filed under: uncultured Pseudomonas sp.
Lineage: Bacteria; Pseudomonadati; Pseudomonadota; Gammaproteobacteria; Pseudomonadales; Pseudomonadaceae
Description: partial 16S ribosomal RNA
Rfam family: Bacterial small subunit ribosomal RNA
Source: RNAcentral
UCCCGUAACGAGCGCAACCCUUGUCCUUAGUUACCAGCACGUUAUGGUGGGCACUCUAAGGAGACUGCCGGUGACAAACCGGAGGAAAGGUGGGGAUGACGUCAAGUCAUCAUGGCCCUUACGGCCUGGGCUACACACGUGCUACAAUGGUCGGUACAAAGGGUUGCCAAGCCGCGAGGUGGAGCUAAUCCCAUAAAACCGAUCGUAGUCCGGAUCGCAGUCUGCAACUCGACUGCGUGAAGUCGGAAUCGCUAGUAAUCGUGAAUCAGAAUGUCACGGUGAAUACGUUCCCGGGCCUU